This 497-nucleotide ribosomal RNA is filed under the name uncultured bacterium. RNAcentral's name for it is "partial 16S ribosomal RNA". It matches the Rfam family "Bacterial small subunit ribosomal RNA", at positions 28 to 507 of the family's 1533-position model. The record is from RNAcentral.
GAUGAACGCUGGCGGCGUGCCUAAUACAUGCAAGUCGAGCGAACGGACGAGAAGCUUGCUUCUCUGAUGUUAGCGGCGGACGGGUGAGUAACACGUGGAUAACCUACCUAUAAGACUGGGAUAACUUCGGGAAACCGGAGCUAGUACCGGAUAAUAUUUUGAACCGCAUGGUUCAAAAGUGAAAGACGGUCUUGCUGUCACUUAUAGAUGGAUCCGCGCUGCAUUAGCUAGUUGGUAAGGUAACGGCUUACCAAGGCAACGAUGCAUAGCCGACCUGAGAGGGUGAUCGGCCACACUGGAACUGAGACACGGUCCAGACUCCUACGGGAGGCAGCAGUAGGGAAUCUUCCGCAAUGGGCGAAAGCCUGACGGAGCAACGCCGCGUGAGUGAUGAAGGUCUUCGGAUCGUAAAACUCUGUUAUUAGGGAAGAACAUAUGUGUAAGUAACUGUGCACAUCUUGACGGUACCUAACCAGAAAGCCACGGCUAACUACGUG